GAAUCUGCCAAAACAAACUCUUUGCAUCCAGAACUGAGAACACCGUUGUCUCACCCGAGUGUGCAGCUACUUCUUCUACCGUGCUCAUAGGGUGAUGUGGUCGAUUGAUAGCGGUGUUCAGAUCCUUCAGGUUGAUACAUAUCCGCAUCUCUUCUUUGUUCUUCGUAGUGGCCGCCACCAUGGUUGAUACCCAGUCCGAUGUAACAGGGGAGAUGACCCCGAGAGCUUCCUUCCUCUCGAGUUAUUUCUGUAUACGGUUGCGGGUGGCUACCGGAAUGCGCUGCGCAGGUCGCACAACAGGGAGGACAUUUGAAUCUGUAACAAUAAUGUAUUCGAGAGGGAGCUUACGAAGCUCUUCUUUGAAAAGAUCGUAUUAGCAUGCAAGAAUGUAGCGCAGUCUUGGAUACGAGCAAACUGCACAGCUUUGCCUAAGAAGACCAAGGUAUCGAUGCCAAGCAGAGAGACAACCUUCCCCUAACGAUAAAGAAAUUCCGUUUAUAGGAGCAGCCAAUAAGAUGACCGUUGCUAUGACCAGCUUAGUGGACAAUGUCGGGCAUCGUGCCCUGCCGGAGAGUACAACGUCGGCGAAUGCGCCAGUGGAAGAGAAUGCUGCGCUGCAAAGGAACAUAUCAGACAUGGCUGACCUUGCCAUUGUAUGGCUGACCUGGCCAGGGAAAAUUCCUCGUAUGUUGUAAAAGUUACUUGGCGAAUAAAAUCUGAUUCUGAUUCUGAUUCUGACAUAAACUAUUUUCCCCCAAA
Long non-coding RNA from Leucoraja erinaceus (little skate), 759 nucleotides. RefSeq lists it as uncharacterized. The transcript is spliced from 2 exons. The record is from RefSeq and is a predicted model, not a curated record. Lineage: Eukaryota; Metazoa; Chordata; Chondrichthyes; Rajiformes; Rajidae.